UGACGAGCUUGCUCUGAUUUGAUUUUAUCUGACAAAGAGUGGCGAACGGGUGAGUAACACGUGGGUAACCUACCUCUUAGCAGGGGAUAACAUUUGGAAACAAGUGCUAAUACCGUAUAAUACCAACAACCGCAUGGUUGUUGGUUGAAAGAUGGUUCUGCUAUCACUAAGAGAUGGACCCGCGGUGCAUUAGCUAGUUGGUAAGGUAACGGCUUACCAAGGCAAUGAUGCAUAGCCGAGUUGAGAGACUGAUCGGCCACAAUGGGACUGAGACACGGCCCAUACUCCUACGGGAGGCAGCAGUAGGGAAUCUUCCACAAUGGGCGCAAGCCUGAUGGAGCAACGCCGCGUGUGUGAUGAAGGGUUUCGGCUCGUAAAACACUGUUAUAAGAGAAGAACGGCACUGAGAGUAACUGUUCAGUGUGUGACGGUAUCUUACCAGAAAGGAACGGCUAAAUACGUGCCAGCAGCCGCGGUAAUACGUAUGUUCCAAGCGUUAUCCGGAUUUAUUGGGCGUAAAGCGAGCGCAGACGGUUAUUUAAGUCUGAAGUGAAAGCCCUCAGCUCAACUGAGGAAUGGCUUUGGAAACUGGAUGACUUGAGUGCAGUAGAGGAAAGUGGAACUCCAUGUGUAGCGGUGAAAUG
RNAcentral lists this ribosomal RNA (644 nucleotides) under Weissella paramesenteroides. Its description in RNAcentral is "bacterial SSU rRNA". It matches the Rfam family "Bacterial small subunit ribosomal RNA", at positions 60 to 688 of the family's 1533-position model. The record is from RNAcentral. Lineage: Bacteria; Bacillati; Bacillota; Bacilli; Lactobacillales; Lactobacillaceae.